RNAcentral lists this ribosomal RNA (417 nucleotides) under uncultured bacterium. RNAcentral's name for it is "bacterial SSU rRNA". It matches the Rfam family "Bacterial small subunit ribosomal RNA", at positions 28 to 429 of the family's 1533-position model. The record is from RNAcentral.
GACGAACGCUGGCGGCGUGCCUAACACAUGCAAGUCGAACGGAGCUAUUAUGGAAGUACCUUCGGGUGCGGAAGUUUUAGCUUAGUGGCGAACGGGUGAGUAACGCGUGAGCAACCUGCCUCUCAGUGGGGGACAACAGUUGGAAACGACUGCUAAUACCGCAUAACAUAUUCGGACCGCACGAUCUGAAUAUCAAAGCUUUAUGUGCUGAAAGAUGGUCUCGCGUCUGAUUAGCUAGUUGGUGGGGUAACGGCCCGACCAAGGCGACGAUCAGUAGCCGGUCUGAGAGGAUGAACGGCCACAUUGGGACUGAGAUACGGCCCAGACUCCUACGGGAGGCAGCAGUGGGGAAUAUUGGGCAAUGGGGGAAACCCUGACCCAGCAACGCCGCGUGAAGGAAGAAGGCCUCGGUGUAAC